GAGUAGCAAUACAACUGGGUGGCGACCGGCGCACGGGUGAGUAACGCGUAUGCAACCUACCUAUCAGAGGGGAAUAACCCGGCGAAAGUCGGACUAAUACCGCAUAAAACAGGGGCACCGCAUGGUGAUAUUUGUUAAAGAAAUUCGCUGAUAGAUGGGCAUGCGUUCCAUUAGGUAGUUGGUGAGGUAACGGCUCACCAAGCCGACGAUGGAUAGGGGAACUGAGAGGUUGGUCCCCCACACUGGUACUGAGACACGGACCAGACUCCUACGGGAGGCAGCAGUGAGGAAUAUUGGUCAAUGGGCGGGAGCCUGAACCAGCCAAGUCGCGUGAAGGAAGAAGGAUCUAUGGUUCGUAAACUUCUUUUGCAGGGGAAUAAAGUGCGGGACGUGUCCCGUUUUGUAUGUACCCUGAGAAUAAGGAUCGGCUAACUCCGUGCCAGCAGCCGCGGUAAUACGGAGGAUCCGAGCGUUAUCCGGAUUUAUUGGGUUUAAAGGGUGCGUAGGUGGUUUGAUAAGUCAGCGGUGAAAGUUUGCAGCUUAACUGUAAAAAUGCCGUUGAAACUGUCGGACUUGAGUGUAAAUGAGGUAGGCGGAAUGCGUGGUGUAGCGGUGAAAUGCAUAGAUAUCACGCAGAACUCCGAUUGCGAAGGCAGCUUACUAAGCUACAACUGACACUGAAGCACGAAAGCGUGGGGAUCAAACAGGAAUUAAAUCCCUGGUAGUCCACGCAGUAAACAAUGAUACUAACUGGUUGGCGAACACAGUAAGCGGGACAGCGAAAGCGUUAAGUAAUCCACCCUGGG
Molecule: ribosomal RNA, 806 nt
Filed under: uncultured bacterium
Lineage: Bacteria
Description: bacterial SSU rRNA
Rfam family: Bacterial small subunit ribosomal RNA
Source: RNAcentral